This 267-nucleotide long non-coding RNA is filed under the name Ananas comosus (pineapple). RNAcentral describes it as "long non-coding RNA (ACOM_LNC002163)". Lineage: Eukaryota; Viridiplantae; Streptophyta; Magnoliopsida; Poales; Bromeliaceae. The record is from RNAcentral.
AAUUUUCAAUAUUUUCAAAUUCAACAGCUAUUCAAGAUUCGCCAUAUUUUUUGCUUUAGCCUCACCAAAAUCGAAAACAAACCCUAAAACAAUCUUCGUCACUGUCUGGACUUUCAAAUGACAUCUUUGUUUCAUAGGAUUCUAUUUUCAAUUAACAAUAUAGGCCAUCCUCUCUCUCAAACCCAAAUUUGAUUAACUUCAAAUUCAUCAAUUUUCAAAAUUUCUAAAUUUAAAUUUAUUCAAAAUCAAAUUUGCUAAUUCUUACAG